This 22-nucleotide microRNA is filed under the name Heligmosomoides polygyrus. Its description in RNAcentral is "hpo-miR-54b-5p". Its record names the gene hpo-miR-54b-5p. Lineage: Eukaryota; Metazoa; Nematoda; Chromadorea; Rhabditida; Heligmosomidae. The record is from miRBase by way of RNAcentral.
CGAUUAUGAGAUGACUGGUGCA